CCCUUAGAUGUCCUGGGCUGCACGCGCGCUACACUGAUGUGUCCAGUAAGCACCUAACCUCUUCCGAAAGGAACGGGUAACCUUUGCAAAGCACAUCGUGAUGGGGAUAGAUUAUUGCAAUUAUUAGUCUUGAACGAGGAAUUCCUAGUAAGCACAAGUCUUCAGCUUGUGUUGAUUACGUCCCUGCCCUUUGUACACACCGCCCGUCGCUCCUACCGAUUGAAUGUUCCGGUGAGCUCUUCGGACUGCGCGGUCUGCAGUUUCUGCGUUCCGUGCGGAAAGUUGCGCAAACCUUAACAUUUAGAGGAAGGAGAAGUCGUAACA
This 324-nucleotide ribosomal RNA is filed under the name uncultured eukaryote. RNAcentral describes it as "partial 18S ribosomal RNA". It matches the Rfam family "Eukaryotic small subunit ribosomal RNA", at positions 1470 to 1796 of the family's 1831-position model. The record is from RNAcentral.